GGGCGGGAGCGCAGGGAGGGAGUGGGGGGCGGGCGGCCGCCGCUCUCCGGCCAAUCCUCGACCCCGGGGAGUGCGGAGGCGGGGCCGCAGCCGGCGUGAAUAUGCACGAGGCACUGCGGACCCACCCCCGGCCUCACCUGCGCGCACCUGAACUCAAGCUGGCGCGCCGCGCCCAGUGUCCUGCCGCGUGCGGGAGGAAAUAGUCCCUGGGACGCACGGCAUCCUGGGCCGCCUCCAGGCCGGAUCGCCGAGGGGAGCGGCCCCUCCCCCACGUCGGCCUGGAGCGACUGCGGGAGGGACGUAGCCGCGCCUGCUCUUCGCGAAGACGCCCAACCCAGUCCGAGCGGACACACAUGAAUAUCCCCCAGCUCAUGUCCAACCUCAGGAGUCAAGCUGAGUCAAGCCAGCUGCCAAUUCCUGCUGGCAGCCAAGGCACCCUGGAGACAGGCACUACCUGGAGACUCACCGGGCACCUCCAUCAGCAAGGUGUGUCGUCUGCAGCACAGAGAGAUGCUGCAGGGCUGUGGCUGUGAGGACAGUGAAAAUAAGGUGUUGGCGGGGGGGAGUCAACUAUCUACAGACUCCCCUGACAUUUCUGAAUCUGCCAUCUAGUUUAGUGUUGCCAGACUUAACAGAUUAAAUUGAAAAAAAAAAUUGUAGGUAUGUCCAAUAUUUGGAAUAACUUACACUAAAAAAAUUAGCUGAUUAUCUGAACUUCAAAUAGAACCCAUCUAGAGGCAACCCUAAUCUUGUUACUUAGAAUCUCCCAUGUUCUCAUAAAGAUUGUAAAGAAUUCUGCAUCUCUUAAUACUGUUCUUGCCCUAUCAGUUCCCUGUUCUUAACAAUGCAAGGUGUACCAGUAAGCCUUUUAUUUGGCCAAGAUGGCACCUCCUUGCUCCCCUGUCCCCGAGUUGAGAGAACAGGGACCGCAGCAGGCUGGUGGCAGAGCCGCCGGCAUGCAUCUUGUUUAUGAUUUUAAGGAUACAGUUGUAGUUUCAUUCCCCCUCGCCUCUCCCUGGACACAGACUCGCCAUUUCCAAACCUUCCCACAUGGAUCCUUUUGCUGCUUUGCAGAACAGACUGUCCUUGUGGGUUCCACUCCAUGGGACAGCUCUCUCCGCCCCAGCUUUCUUAAGCCUCAAUUAGUCAUGGCCAAUCCAUGUCCCUUUCAAAGUCUUAGGACUCCUCAGCUGCCAGGGCCUGCAGGGCUUUGGCAGGGUAAGGAGGUACCUGGGGAGUCAGCCUGGCCAGGACUCAGCAAGGGUCUGACAGGCUGGUCCCACAGAUGUGGGGGGCGGCUCCGGCUCUUCUGCAGGUGCCGUGUUCGCAGCAGCUGCUUGUAUUCCUGCCAACUGGAGCAGCAGCGCACCUCGGGAUCUGAGUUCACAUCCUCCCGGAAGUGCUGGGCCUCUGCAUGUUGCUCCCGUUCCCUCCUGGAGAGCUUCUCCUUCCUCUGGUUCAGCUUCUGACACCAGGAUUCGGCAUCUGUCUCCCGCCCAGUGACAUUGACGGGGAGCAGUUCUGGGGCUGGGGCAAGCAGAAGGGUGUGGCGGCUAUCUGAAGCCAUGUUGGGGAAGGAGAUCUGUUCAAAGUUCCAGCGUGGCUUACGAACCCCCUUGACCCCGUUCUCUACUUUGCCACUCUCCUGGCUGCACCCCACCCCCUCAUGAGCCAGGUCAGGCCAGGGCUGCAGGGAUCCCAGAAGCUCAGAUGGGCCCACUGGGCCCUUUACAGGGUUUGACUCCUGAGGUUUCUCCUCUUCGCAUUGGUUGUUCUGGUUGCAAGGAGGUGGGCUGGAGAUUGUCAGGCUCUCUGGUGUCUCAUUCACCCCCUGCGGGGGAUUCUCCAGGGCCUUGGCCUUCUUAUUAAUGCACCUGAGGGAUGUGGGGAGGAAAUUCAGCAUAUCUGCUCCUGAUGGCUGAGAUGCACACGUCCCACACACCUGCUGCUGCCUCCAGGAUCCCACUAGGGAGACACCCAAGCCCAGCUCUUAAGCCAAUGUUUUCUCCAAGGUCCCUCAAACAAGUACUCCCUUAACAGCUCUGCUCCCCAGAACUCCCUGGGCGGGGGGGUGGGGGUGGCCAUGUGGGAAACACUACCGAGAGCUGGAGCUCCUCCUCUUCCUCUUGCCAUUCUGAUCCUCUAAGCACCGGGCACUGCCGUCCAAGUUCAGCUGUCUCUCGUAAGGGGACAGGAUGGAGCUGUGGGGUGAGAAUCGGGUGGGCAACAGAUCCACUUCCUCAGCCUGGAGUUCCCAGUGGAAUUUGUGAGGGACUGGCCCAGAAGACAAAUCAGGGGGCCAGGGUCAAAGCCAAACCCAAGGGCCAAGUCCCUGGGCAGACCUGCAAGCAAGGUAAACGGAGGCAACCGCAGAGGCCUGCCCAUGUGUCUUUGCCCAGGCCUCUGGGUCUCACCAGUGGCCCCUUUGAACGGAGACUUACUGGAACCAGGGCUCCUGGAGAGCUGGCAAUAAAUGAUUAACCACUAGUGAGAAAAAUGAAGAGACCAGAAAACUUGGAAAAUACAGAAAAAUAAAAAUACAAACAUUUUUGGUUCUUAUAAACAUGCACCCUCUCAUAUGGUUUUUUCCUAUCAAAAAUUACAUUGUACUGGGGUGCCUGGGUGGCUCAGUUGGUUAAACAUCUGCCUUCAGUUCUGGUCUUUCCACUCUAUGGCUGAUGGUCUCUGUGGCUCUUAGCAAUGCUGAGCUAUUAAGGUGAUCAUGUUUAGAGGCCCCAGAAGGAAAGAACAUCUAACGUAGCCAAAGGAAUGUGAGACCCUACUCAACUGUUAAUGCCUCACUUGGCCCGCCACUCACGCAUGCACUUGACAAAUCUGCUUACACACCCACUGAGGCACCGUUCUGGGUUACAGCUAUGUGCCAGUGCACUGCCAUGAGCUAGAAGUGCUUAAUCGUUAUCUGCAGAGCCAUCAGGCUGAAGAUGGGGCUCAAUUUGAUAACCCAGGAAAAGCUGAAAUGACCUAGACUUGUCCCAGCGUGCCUCUUGAUACAGCACUUCCAACAGAGACCCCCAGCCCAUGCCCAGGGAGCUGCAGCUCCAGAUAAGGAUUCCAGGUCAAGAGAGGCCAUUUUCCAUCUUGGGGCUCAUCUACUGGGUCCCAUGAGUGGAAUAAAUGGGAGGGAAACGGGA
Molecule: long non-coding RNA, 3152 nt
Organism: Mustela lutreola (European mink)
Lineage: Eukaryota; Metazoa; Chordata; Mammalia; Carnivora; Mustelidae
Exons: 3
Source: RefSeq, a predicted model, not a curated record